GGGCCCGUAGCUCAGGUGGAUGGAGCACUCGCCUUCUAAGCGAGGGGACGGCGGUUCGAGUCCGCCCGGGCCCG
RNAcentral lists this transfer RNA (74 nucleotides) under Elusimicrobiota bacterium. Its description in RNAcentral is "Elusimicrobia bacterium (wastewater metagenome) tRNA-Arg". It matches the Rfam family "tRNA". From Rfam's summary of the family: Transfer RNA (tRNA) molecules are approximately 80 nucleotides in length. Their secondary structure includes four short double-helical elements and three loops (D, anti-codon, and T loops). Lineage: Bacteria; Pseudomonadati; Elusimicrobiota. The record is from RNAcentral.